GUCUACAGCCAUACCACCCUGAACGUGCCCGAUCUCAUCUGAUCUCGGAAGAUAAGCAGGGUCGGGCCUGGUUAGUACUUGGAUGGGAGACAACACAUGUAAAAUACCAUCUACCAAGAAGAUUCAGUAGACU
Ribosomal RNA from Panthera pardus (leopard), 133 nucleotides. Lineage: Eukaryota; Metazoa; Chordata; Mammalia; Carnivora; Felidae. The record is from Ensembl.